Molecule: long non-coding RNA, 2641 nt
Organism: Phyllostomus discolor (pale spear-nosed bat)
Lineage: Eukaryota; Metazoa; Chordata; Mammalia; Chiroptera; Phyllostomidae
Exons: 2
Source: RefSeq, a predicted model, not a curated record
CUUAAUUUGCUGAGAAUUUUUAUCAAAAAUGGAUAAUGGAUUUUAUCUAAUAUAUUUUCUACAUCUGAUGGCAUUAUCACAGUUUUUGUGAAUUACAUUGAUUUUCAAAUGCUAAACCAACCUGACACUCCUGGAAUAAACACAAUUUAAUCAUGUUCUAUUAUCUUUUUUCUUGAUAGACUCCUGCUAAUUGUUUUUUUUUACAAUUUUUCUUAUACAUUUCUAAGGAAAAUUUAGCCAUAAUUCUCUUUUAUAAUAAGUAAUAUCAGGUGUUGGUACCAAAGUUUUGCUGACCUUACAAAAUGAACUUUAAAUUGUUCUCAUUUCUUUCUAUUCUCUGAGUUUAAAAUAAGUAUUAUUUCCUUUCCAGGGAUGUCUGCUAAGCCAUCUGAUCUUUAAGCUUUCUUUGUGAGAGUUUUAAAAUAUAGACUCAAUUUCAUUAAGAGUUACAAGGUAGGUCAAGUUUCCUAUUUCUUCUUGUAGCAAUUCUGGGAAGUUUUAUUUUUCUAGACAUUUAUCCAUAUCAAUUCAAUUUUAACUAUAUUGUUAUAAAUUGAUCAUAAUAUCCUUUCAUUACUUCUAAUGUCUAUAGGGUCUAUAGUGAUGUCGUCUUUCCCAUUCCUUGAUACUAGUUAGUUGUACCUUCUCUCUCCUUUUUUUUCAUCAGUGAUAUCAGGUGUUUACCACUUUUUAUUAUUAAUCAUUUUCAUUGUUAAUCUUAUGUUUGUUUUUCUUUUCAUUGAUUUCUCUCUUGCCUUUAUUAUUUACUUCCUUCUUUCUCUGGGCUUAAGUUGCUGAGGGUUUGAUUUUACUUUCUUGAGAUAAAUGCAUUAGAUCAUUUUCACCCAUCUUCUUUUAUGACAUAUGGCCAGCAAGCCAUCAAGUACCUCCAAAGGAACUUAGCUGCAUUAUACAAAUUCUGACAAGUUGUACUUUCAUUAUUACUCAGGUAAAACUAUUUUUAAAGUUUCUUUGUAACUUCUUUGUUAAUCCUGGGGUUAUUUGGAGGUAGAUUUCUUGUUUCUAAAUAUAUGGGAAUUUUCUAAUUAUACUUAUGUUACCAAUUUCCUGUAAUGUUCAGAGAACAUACUCUGUACAUUUUUAUUAUCUGAUUUUUGUUGAGAAUUGCUUUAUGAUCCUGGAUAUGGUCAAUUUUGGUGUUCCAUGUGCACUUAAAAAGAACUUAUGUUCUGCAGGUACUGAGUACAGUGCUCUAUAUAUGUCAUAAGGUAGAGCAUAUUAAUCAUUUGUUCACAUAUUCUAUAUUAUUACUAAUUUUUUGUCUACUUGAUCUAUUGAGUGUCUGAAAAAUCCAUUAUUUGGCUCUCUUUUCAGUCUUCUGCUAUGGUCUUUGUUUUGCUUAGUUUCAGUCAUAUGAGCUUGUCUCCAGAGUGCCUGGCUAUUUUUGUGUGCAUGUAAGACAUUUUAUGAAAAAACUAUAAAAAUUAUUUGGGCCUAGAAGAGCAUUAUCUUCCUCCAAAAGGAAUUGAUUUCUGUUUAAAUAGAUGGCUAGAGUCGCUAACAAUCCUGGCUAUCCUUAAUCCCAUCAAUGAUUCUAGAUUAGGUUUUAUUUAUAAGUAGACCUUCCUAUUUUUGAUUUACCCUAACUCCUAAGGCAUAGCCCUUCAGGGCCCCAACCCCAAGCCUGGGGGAUUUGGCAGGAAAUCUCCCUUCUUGGUGGACCCUAACCUCAAACUGCUGCUCCUUUAGCCCCAAUCUACAAGUGUGUCAAAAGCUCUACUCAGCUUCUUAGCCUCUCAGACACCUCUACUGGUAACAGAAGUUUCUCCUAAGGGAAAAAAGCCUCACAUGCCCAGCUCACCUCUUUGAGUUUCUUUCUUCUCCAGGAUCUUGUCCCCACAGUCUUCACUGAUGUGUUAGCUCUCUGAUACCUUCAAACAGAUGAUUUUUAUACAUGAUCCAUCUUUUCUAGUUGUUCUCAGUGGGAGAGUUAGUCCAAAUUGCCUAAUCCACCAUCACCAGAAGUGCACCUCUCAAUUCCUCUUAUCUGUAAAAUGAGGAUAAUAAUGACAACUUCCUCAAACAUAUUAUUAAAAGAGAUUAGGGUGCCUAUUACAUACUAAGUGCUCAAGAACUUUUGGCUAUGGUUUUGAGCUACCUUUCACUAAUCCAAAACAAGGCACAGUUAAUACGUAUGUUGUGGUUUUGCCUGCCUACAAUCCAUUCUCCUCUAAUACCUGAAAAUUCCUUUGACAAACUAGUCCUGAACUAUUGAGUGAUCUCUAUGUAGCUGUCAAUCAAGGUGCCAUGUCCUCCUCUGAUGAAAGGUGGGCAACUAAUCAAAGCUAGUGCAGAUCUGUGUCUCUACUGGUAAUGUGACCUUUAAGAAGGAAGUGGUAACGCUGAUCCACACAAACAGCAAGUGGCACCAUGAACAGGCCAUCCAUUAAUUUUGACAAACUAGCUAUCAAGAGCUAUCCAAAUUUCUGUCUUUUCCAGGGACUAGUAUUCUACUUUUCUGAGAGCUACCAUACUCUUAUCAUAAAUACAUUUUCUUCUUAAGUUAACCAGGGUCCAUGUUUUGUUGCUUGACACCAAAAUAUUUAAUUGAUACCCAAAUGGAGAUCUCACUUUCAACAGUUUUCUACAGGUCCCUAUACUUAAUCUUUCUGUCAACCAG